GCGUCCUUAGCUCAGUUUGGAUAGAGCAUCUGGCUUCGAACCAGAGGGUCGGGGGUUCGAGUCCCUCAGGGCGCGCCA
Molecule: transfer RNA, 78 nt
Filed under: SAR324 cluster bacterium
Lineage: Bacteria; Deltaproteobacteria
Description: tRNA-Arg
Rfam family: tRNA
About the family: Transfer RNA (tRNA) molecules are approximately 80 nucleotides in length.
Source: RNAcentral